RNAcentral lists this small RNA (166 nucleotides) under uncultured Blautia sp. RNAcentral describes it as "Clostridiales-1 RNA". It matches the Rfam family "Clostridiales-1 RNA". Lineage: Bacteria; Bacillati; Bacillota; Clostridia; Lachnospirales; Lachnospiraceae. The record is from RNAcentral.
GAUACCAGGGGCAAAAGGUCUAAGCUCAUAUGAGCUUGCUCAUAAGUGGGCGCAAGACCUUGGGACCCGCCUCGAUAUGAGCAUGAAAGUGGGGUGAAUAUCCCACGAUAUGCGAAUAUUGAGGAGGAUUGUGGGAGUGCGUAGCACGUAGCAAUCCGUAGGUAUC